RNAcentral lists this small nuclear RNA (79 nucleotides) under Homo sapiens (human). Its description in RNAcentral is "partial ncRNA". The record is from RNAcentral. Lineage: Eukaryota; Metazoa; Chordata; Mammalia; Primates; Hominidae.
AGAGAAUCACUUGAACCUGGGAGGCGGAGGUUGCAGUGAGCCAAGAUUGCCCCACUGCACUCCAGCCUGGGCAACAAGA